Molecule: long non-coding RNA, 672 nt
Organism: Gossypium arboreum
Lineage: Eukaryota; Viridiplantae; Streptophyta; Magnoliopsida; Malvales; Malvaceae
Exons: 3
Source: RefSeq, a predicted model, not a curated record
UUUUGUCCAUUUUGUUCAUCAUAGCUGAAAGUUAAAGAAGAGAAAGGAGAGGAGAAAGCUCUUGAGUAUUUGGUCAUUAGGAGGAGGAAAAUUGAAGGUGGUUCGUGUGUGGAUCUCGUUAGCAUAUCGUCGCAAACAGCCAUGCUGCAAAUUCUGUGGUGUGUAGCGGUUGGGUGGGUCGACUUGUCUCCCCACACAGUGUAAGGUUGGUACGGGGGUGUAUACGGUUGGAUAUGGUUGGGUUUCUGCAUAAACAUGUAAUAUCUGUUCUGUUCUGUUCUGUUAUGGGCCUAUGGGCUUUAUUUUGAAUUCUGUUCUGGGCUAAGGCCAACUUAUUCUAUUUCUGUGGUUUAAGCUGAUAUAGGCUAUGGUUGGGUUAAUUUACACACUGAGUUUCCCCAAACUCACCCCUUUUAUUUUCAUCCACGCAGGUAAUCCCCAACCAUAGUGGGCUUGGAGCUGUGAGGGAAUUCGGAGUGGCCACUUGUUCUGAAAGUUUGAUUUUCUUCUGGUGAACUGGACAUCCUUUUAUUUACGUUUGAAGUUUUGGGUUUUUAAAUGUAAUAAGGCCGCUUAAUUAUUUUUGAUGGUUUUAAUAUGUAUUACUAAGAUAGGUAAUACUUAUUUUAACUGUUGAAAUUGGAUAGCUUUAAGGCGCGUUUUCAAAAACAA